Molecule: long non-coding RNA, 199 nt
Organism: Magallana angulata
Lineage: Eukaryota; Metazoa; Mollusca; Bivalvia; Ostreida; Ostreidae
Exons: 2
Source: RefSeq, a predicted model, not a curated record
UUUCAGCCGAACUGAUCCUUACGUCCUCCAGGAACAGCUCAUCAAGGACGGGGCCUACUAUAUAGUAACACCAGAAGGCACUGUCACUUGGGAUGAAGAAUGAGAAUCCGGGGAUGUGAAAGCUGUAGGAGUGAUGUUGUGUUAUAAAUGAGAAAGAACUGUGUUUCAGAUCCAUAUGUUCAAUAAACUUUAAAACAUU